AGAGCGAACGCUGGCGGCAGGCCUAACACAUGCAAGUCGAGCGCCCGUAGCAAUACGGGAGCGGCAGACGGGAUAGUAACACGUGGGAACGCGCCCUUCGGUUCGGAAUAACUCAGGGAAACUUGAGCUAAUACCGAAUACGCCCUUACGGGGAAAGAUUUAUUGCCGAAGGAACGGCCCGCGUCCGAUUAGCUAGUUGGUGAGGUAAUGGCUCACCAAGGCUACGAUCGGUAGCUGGUCUGAGAGGAUGACCAGCAUCACUGGGACUGAGACACGGCCCAGACUCCUACGGGAGGCAGCAGUGGGGAAUAUUGGACAAUGGCGCAAGCCUGAUCCAGCCAUGCCGCGUGGAUGAUGAAGGCCUUAGGUUGUAAAGUCUUUAACGGGAAGAUAAUGACGGUACCCGUAGAAUAAGCCCGGCUAACUUCGUGCCAGCAGCCGC
RNAcentral lists this ribosomal RNA (442 nucleotides) under uncultured bacterium. Its description in RNAcentral is "SSU rRNA". It matches the Rfam family "Bacterial small subunit ribosomal RNA", at positions 26 to 518 of the family's 1533-position model. The record is from RNAcentral.